AUUGAACGCUGGCGGCAGGCCUAACACAUGCAAGUCGAACGGUAACAGGAAGCAGCUUGCUGCUUCGCUGACGAGUGGCGGACGGGUGAGUAAUGUCUGGGAAGCUGCCUGAUGGAGGGGGAUAACUACUGGAAACGGUAGCUAAUACCGCAUAAUGUCGCAAGACCAAAGAGGGGGACCUUCGGGCCUCUUGCCAUCGGAUGUGCCCAGAUGGGAUUAGCUUGUUGGUGGGGUAACGGCUCACCAAGGCGACGAUCCCUAGCUGGUCUGAGAGGAUGACCAGCAACACUGGGACUGAGACACGCUCCAGACUCCUACGGGAGGCAGCAGUGGGGAAUAUUGCACAAUGGGCGCAAGCCUGAUGCAGCCAUGCCGCGUGUAUGAAGAAGGCCUUCGGGUUGUAAAGUACUUUCAGCGGGGAGGAAGGGAGUAAAGUUAAUACCUUGGCUCAUUGACGUUACCCGCAGAAGAAGCACCGGCUAACUCCGUG
RNAcentral lists this ribosomal RNA (490 nucleotides) under uncultured bacterium. RNAcentral describes it as "partial 16S ribosomal RNA". It matches the Rfam family "Bacterial small subunit ribosomal RNA", at positions 30 to 507 of the family's 1533-position model. The record is from RNAcentral.